RNA transcript from Drosophila subobscura, 4360 nucleotides. It is a transcript of the gene named disintegrin and metalloproteinase domain-containing protein 10, with no coding region annotated. NCBI's taxonomy places the organism in Eukaryota, Metazoa, Arthropoda, Insecta, Diptera, Drosophilidae. The transcript is spliced from 12 exons. The record is from RefSeq and is a predicted model, not a curated record.
UUUAAAAUAAAAAUAUAAAAAAAGUGCAAAAAAAUACAAAAGAAUAAAAGACUUGGUGCCCGAUUCGUGCGUGUCGAUGUUUGAGUGCUUAAACUGGUUAAUGGCAGGGCCCCGGAAAAUCCCCCAUUGAGCAAGCCAUCCCCAGAGCCCCACAAAAGUUGCUGAAAGUCUCGAAAAUAGAGCAUACUGCCACAAGAGUUACGUGAAAAUUUCCACUCCAACAACCAACAACAACAAAAAACAGAGAAUCUGUUGAUUCCUCCCCUGCAACCACAUUGGAUCCCAGUCGCUGCAUAUAAUGUCCUCAAAAUGUGCUUUUCACAUUGCAUUCGUGUCGAUCAUUUUCAUCAUCAUCGUAAAUGGUUACGCAAAAGAUAUUUCUGGAGUUAAAAGAGGUCAUGAACGACUUAAUGAAUACAUAUCCCACUACGAAACACUCGACUAUGAUCACGAGCACAUCCGAGCUAGUCACAACAGGGCGCGACGAUCAGUGACCAAAGAUCAUUAUGUACAUUUAAAGUUUGCAGCACAUGGAAGAGACUUCCAUCUUAGAUUAAAACGUGAUUUAAAUACAUUUAGUGAUAAGUUAGACUUUUAUGAUAGCAACGGCCCCAUUGAUGUCUCCACGGAUCAUAUCUAUGCGGGCGAAGUGAUAGGGGAUCGUAAUAGUUUUGUAUUUGGUUCCAUACACAAUGGGGUAUUCGAGGGUAAAAUUAUAACGGAACGUGAUGCCUAUUAUGUUGAACAUGCCAAACAUUAUUUUCCCACAAAUCGCACUGCGAUAUCAUCCACAACGGAGUCACAGCUCACAGUCACUCCAAGGAGCGCCGCAAGCACAGGAGCACGGCCUCUGGCCUCUCGCAACUCCAACAAAUACACAAAUAACUACAACAGAACUGCCGUUGAUAAUAAGACAGAAAACUUCAUAAAGAAAAUUGCUGAAUCCACAACGACGAGCCCUGAGCUGUCUGCGGAGUCGUCCUCUCAUACAACAUUCCCACCCACAACAACAACAACAACGGAACACGUCGAGGAGCACCAACAGCAGCAGCAGCAGGAUAAUGCUGAGGGAGAACUUGAUUUUCACUCCAUUAUCUACAAGGAGUCACAUGUUGAGGAUGCCUACGAAAAUGUGCGCGAAGGUCACGUGGGCGGCUGCGGCAUCACGGAUGAGGUCUCACAAUGGAUGGAGAAUAUACAAAAUUCAGCUGUCGAAGAGCUGCCGGAGCCCAUGUCAAAGGACUACCAAAAGCUCCACCGGAAGCAGCUGCACAAAAAGGCUGCUCCACAGCAGCAGCAGCAGCCACAGCAGCAGCAGCAGCAACAGCAUCCACCGAAGAAAUACAUGAGCGGCGAUGAUGAUUUCAAAUUCCCCCAUCAGAAGUACUCGAAGGAGGCCAACUUUGCUGACGGUGCAUUCUACGAUCCGUCCACGGGACGUCGAUUGGGCUCAUCCGCCAAUGUGGGCGACUGGCAUGAGUUUGUCCAUGAGCGGGUGCGUCGGGCCAGCGAUGGCGGCAGCGGCUCUUCCGGCGGCUCGGGACCGGCACGAGGUCGAGAGGACAACAAGAAUACCUGUUCGCUCUACAUACAGACGGAUCCAUUGAUUUGGCGCCACAUACGCGAGGGAAUUGCCGACCAUGAUCGCAGCCGAAAGUAUGAGGUGGAUGUGAAAACGCGCGAGGAAAUCACAUCGCUGAUUGCACACCAUGUGACGGCCGUUAAUUACAUUUACCGCAACACAAAGUUCGAUGGACGUACGGAGCAUCGGAACAUACGCUUUGAGGUUCAACGCAUUAAAAUCGAUGAUGAUUCCGCCUGCCGCAACUCGUACAAUGGUCCACACAAUGCCUUCUGCAAUGAGCACAUGGAUGUGUCGAAUUUUUUGAAUCUACACUCGCUGGAGGAUCACUCCGACUUCUGUCUGGCCUAUGUCUUCACCUACAGAGACUUCACCGGCGGCACUUUGGGCCUGGCCUGGGUGGCCAGCGCUUCGGGCGCCUCGGGCGGCAUCUGUGAGAAGUACAAGACCUACACGGAGACGGUGGGUGGACAGUAUCAGAGCACCAAGCGUUCCCUGAACACGGGCAUCAUCACAUUCGUCAACUACAACAGUCGCGUGCCGCCCAAAGUGUCACAGCUGACGCUGGCCCACGAGAUUGGACAUAAUUUUGGAUCACCUCACGACUACCCGCAGGAAUGCCGUCCGGGUGGACUCAAUGGCAACUUUAUUAUGUUCGCCAGCGCCACAUCUGGGGAUCGGCCGAACAACUCCAAGUUCUCGCCCUGCUCCAUACGCAACAUAUCCAACGUGCUGGAUGUGCUGGUGGGCAACACGAAGCGGGACUGCUUCAAGGCGUCGGAGGGCGCCUUCUGUGGCAACAAGAUCGUGGAGUCGGGCGAGGAGUGCGACUGCGGCUUCAAUGAGGAGGAGUGCAAGGACAAGUGCUGCUAUCCGCGGCUGAUCAGCGAGUACGAUCAGUCGCUGAACUCCAGUGCCAAGGGCUGCACGCGGCGCGCCAAGACGGAGUGCUCGCCCUCGCAGGGUCCCUGCUGCCUGGCCAACUCGUGCACCUUUGUGCCGACGCGUUACCACCAGAAGUGCAAGGAGGAGACCGAGUGCAGCUGGUCGAGCACCUGCAACGGCACCACGGCGGAGUGCCCCGAGCCACGGCAUCGGGAUGACAAGACCAUGUGCAACAAUGGCACCGCCCUGUGCAUUCGCGGCGAGUGCAGUGGCUCGCCCUGCCUGCUCUGGAACAUGACCAAGUGCUUCCUCACCUCGUUCACGCUGCCGCACGCGGACAAGCGUAAGCUGUGCGACCUGGCCUGCCAGGACGGCAACGACACCUCCACCUGCCGCAGCACCAGCGAGUUUGCCGAGAAGUACAACAUCCAGAAGGGCGGCAUCAGCCUCCAGCCCGGCUCGCCCUGCGACAACUUCCAGGGCUACUGCGACGUCUUUCUCAAGUGUCGCGCCGUCGAUGCGGAUGGGCCGCUGGUGCGGCUGAAGAAUCUCCUGCUGAAUCGCGAGACCCUGCUCACGGUGGCCGAGUGGGUCACCGAGAACUGGUACUUGGUGGUGCUAAUGGGCGUGGGCUUCAUUGUGGUCAUGGGCGCGUUCAUCAAGUGCUGUGCCGUGCACACGCCCAGCUCCAAUCCUAAGAAGCGUCGCGCUCGUCGCAUCAGCGAAACGCUGCGGGCACCCAUGAACACGCUGCGAAGAAUGCAGCGGCAUCCGCAUCAGCGCGGUGCCGGGCCACGGAGCAUCCCACCGCCUGCCCACGAGGCCCAGCACUAUCCCAGAGGAGGGGAUGGGCGCGGCGGAGGUCGCCACGGAGGCUCUCGAUCGCAUCACCAGGCGCAUCCGCAUGACUGGGAUCGCCAUCAGGGCGGGCAUUCCAUCGUGCCGCUGCCCACUGGCGGCGGUCAUGCCAGUCGCAGCUCCGCCGCGAAUCAGGCGAGACGCAGCGAUGGACGCGGCACGCGCUCCACGAGCAGCGGUAGGCCCGUCGUGGCGGCAGCAGCCGUAGCAGGAGCUGGCGAUGGAGGAAGCCGAGCACAUGGCGGGUAUGGAGCUGAGCAGGCGAUACCGGGUUCCAUUGGUGGUGGUGUCCAGGCGGCCAUUAGCAGCGGCGGUGUGGUGGCGCGGGCCCAGCUGCCGCUGCCAUUGCCGCCAGUCAAUGCACUGCAGCAGCAGCAACAACAACAACAGCAAGCACUCUCACCGCAACAGGCACAGCCAGCGUUCUAUGCGCCGAAAGAAUUACCACCACGCAAUAAGUCCCGAUCAUCACGUACCAACAACACCACCACACCACAAUCCACCUCGGCAGCAGCAGUGGCAGCCGGCACAGGGGCGGGUGCGGGUGCGGGUGCGGGGGCGGCCAGUAGCGGCAAGAGCAGUAAGGGCAGCAAGAGUGCCAAAGCCAAAGACACAAAGCAACACAGCGGCAGUCGCAGCAGCAGCAAAGAGAAGGCCGCCAAGCCAGUGCGGCGCAAUAUCGUUUAUUAGCGCGGAAAGAGCUGAGCGGAGCACACGAUCACACACAUGGCCAUAACCUGAAGACAUACAUUGAAAACCCCUAGAAAGACAAAUCCCGAACCCAACGAAUGCCCGCCCGUGCGCUUACUCAAACUGCCUUCCCCCCGUCAUCGAAGUUGCUUCCCCACCACCACAAAAAAACACGAUAAAGACCAUAAAUGAUACAAACAUUUUGACAGAAGCAAUUGCCGUCGCGCCGCCGCUGCUACAAGUAAGCUUUAGUCGGCCAACAUCGCUGCACGAACAGCAGCAGCAGCAGCAUCAGCAGCUACAGCAGCAGCAGCAACUGGAGCCACAGCAACAGCAGCAGCAGCA